GGACUACCCGGGUAUCUAAUCCUGUUUGCUCCCCACGCUUUCGUAGUUGAGUGUCAGUGCUUGUCCAGGUCGCCGCCUUCGCCUCUGGUGUUCCUCCCGAUCUCUACGCAUUUCACCGCUACACCGGGAAUUCCACGACCCUCUCCAAGACUCCAGUCUCACCGUUUCCGGGGCACUUCUCGAGUUAAGCUCGAGGCUUUCACCCCAGACAAAUGAGACCACCUACCUACCCUUUACGCCCAAUGAUUCCGAGCAACGCUUGCACCCUCUGUAUUACCGCGGCUGCUGGCAC
This 292-nucleotide ribosomal RNA is filed under the name uncultured bacterium. RNAcentral describes it as "partial 16S ribosomal RNA". The record is from RNAcentral.